RNAcentral lists this ribosomal RNA (403 nucleotides) under uncultured bacterium. Its description in RNAcentral is "partial 16S ribosomal RNA". It matches the Rfam family "Bacterial small subunit ribosomal RNA", at positions 30 to 526 of the family's 1533-position model. The record is from RNAcentral.
AUUGAACGCUGGCGGCAGGCCUAACACAUGCAAGUCGAGCGAGCGGCGGAAGGGUGAGUAAUGUAUGGGGACUGCCCGAUAGAGGGGGAUAACUACUGGCAACGGUGGCUAAUACCGCAUAAUAUAGGAUAAACCAAAUGGGAUUAGCUAGUAGGUGGGGUAAAGGAUCACCUAGGCGACGAUCUCUAUCUGGUCUGAGAGGAUGAUCAGCCACACUUGGACUGAGACACGGCCCAGACUCCUACGGCGGCAGCAGUGGGGAAUAUUUCACAAUGGGCUCUAGCCUGAUGCAGCAAUGCCGCGUGUAUGAAGAAGGCCUUAGGGUUGUAAAGUACUUUCAGCGGGGAGGCGUUACCCGCAGAAGAAGCACCGGCUAACUCCGUGCCAGCCGCCGCGGUAAUAC